AGUGUGUAUACAUAUUUUUGACACACCCUGUAUAUAAAGAUGGAAAAAAUCAGUACUCUACGUAUUUUCUGCUCUACAGAAAUGUUCAUAGGACAUCCAGCUUUGUUUAAAAAUUUGUCACACUUGGGACUCAAACCCAGGCUCCCUGAAAGGCAGGUUGAGUUAUUGAAGUGUGAGAGAUGAAUCUUGAGGGCAGUAACAUUGAUAACGAAGCAGAAUUUGGACUGUACAAAACAGAAAGUGAUGGAUCUGAUCAGUUUGGAGAUAUAACAGAAGAACUUAACUUUUGGCACUCAUGUAGAAUAUGUGGUGAUGUUAAAGAUGACAUGGUAUCUAUAUAUGAUCAGACAGGAAUUGAACUUCAACUUGAAGAAAAAAUUAAUAAUUACCUUCCUAUUACGGUACUGUCCAAGAGUAAUUUAUUGGUAUAUGUACAUUCUUUUAGAGGUUAACACUACUUUAUACCUAUAUGCCAAUUAAAUAACAUAAAAAGUAGUUUUAUAUACUUAGGAGGUUCCCAAAUAGAUGACAUAUUAAAGGUCGUAAGAGGAUACUGAACUUACUUUUUUUUUCAAAUGACUUUUAUUUUACAUGCAUUUACUCUCAAACCAGCUUAAAUUUAAAUUAAUAGUUUGAAACACAUUAAUGAAGAGUUAAGAAGCAAAUGUGGCUGUUCAGUGGUGGUCUUCUAUUGUCAGUCUGAAUGUCAGAUAUUAUGGCUUUUCUAUAAUUUUUGUGGGGACAUAUAGAAGUUUUAAUUUCUGAGAUUGCUGCCAAAAUUUACAAUACCUCUGCUGCUAGUAUUAUUUCAACUGUUGAAGAUAUAUAAUAGCCAUCCAGUAUGGUUAAGCAAGAGCCACAGUUAAUAACAAGAAACUGAGAUGUCUGAAUGUACAAGGUGAUCAACAUUUCAGUAUAUUUAAAAGAAGUUAUUUAAUUGUUACAUUUGCUAUUACUUAAUGGUAGUAUAAAAUUUAAAUAAAAACAUUCUUAAUCAAAAUAUCCACAGGUGUGCUGCCGGCCUAUAGUGCCCGUUGGACACUAUAGACCGGCAGCACACCCGUGGAUAUUUUGAUUAUCAAAUACGCCAGGAGAAACUCAAGAAUCACAAAAAAAUUCUUGUUGCAGUAGGUCUCUGCAUAACUACAACUUACUGCUGAAUUACUUACUUAUUUACUUACUUCCCCUUAUGUAUAGGCUUGUAGCCUUACUGCUUAAAGUACAUUGAUUUACUUCUUGAGUGUCACAUAUAGGUCUUCUUGUUUCACAAUUUCUUUCCUUAAAUCAAGCAAAGAACUGAAUAAUUGUAGAACUUGAGACCUAAAGAACAGUCAGGUUUUACACCAGGAAAGUCAUGUACUACUCAGGUACUUAAUUUAACCCAGCAGAUCAAGAAAGGAUAUAAAAGAGAGCAGAUGCAGAAGUUGCCUUUAUCAGUAUUGUGUAUGUAACUAUGUAUCAUAAGAAACUGACAAAGAAGCUGUACACAGCAACUUAAGACAGCCAAAUGAUACGAUUUGCUCAGUUUUUGCUACAGAACACAUAAUUUUUUUAAUCAGUCUAAAUGACAAAAUGUGUUGGUGGAAAAUGUGGAAGAAUGGCCUUCCCCAUGGAAAUGUGCUGGCUCUGAUAUUUUAUGACAUAUAUACCAAUGAUCAGCCACGCAACACUGGAACCCAGUCUUUCAUCUAUGCCUUUGACACAGCUGCCACGGCCCAGGGAGUGACAUUUGAAGAAGCAGAAGCCAAGAUAACAUCUGCUUUUGAAAAACUUACUGUCUACUAUGAUGAUAACACUUGGAAGCUAAUCCAAGUACUACUUAAGUGUGCAGGUUCCACCUACACAAUAAGUAGACAAAAAAAGAAAAAGAAAAGCUGAACAUCACUGUGUUAGUCCUGUAAAGGAACACCUUCCUCUAGCAUUACUUAUCUUCAACAGAAUUACCGAUACCAAAAAUACUUUCUACUUUUUAAACAGGUUAAUAUUACCUCAGCUGUUUAACUAAAAGAAUUUAAUACGAAUUUGUAUUUGAUCUGUUAUAUUUCAGGCUCAAAUGUGCAAGAAUAAAUUGCGUUAUUUGCUUUGUUACAAUCAAUAUGUGCUAACUCUGUAUCUACAGUUAAAAUUACUCUUCUUUUAGAAACAUUUGAAAUUACAAACUAUUAAGCAUACUCAAAAUUGCUAUUAUUAACUGCACAAUCUGGCACUAAUUAUUAAAUUUAUUUUUGGAUUUAUUAAUAAAAUAAUGACAUAAACUGGUUGAUAUUCAUUUGUCAAGAAAAUUUGUAAACUCUUUGGAAUAUUGUUAGUACCGCAGAAUGAAGUGGUUGUCGGCAUGCCUUUGAAGUGAUCGGACAUGUUUUUAAUUUUGACAAUAACAGUGUAAUUUUUAAUUUAAAAGUGGAGCUUAUAUACACAGUGUGUUAUAAAAAAUGUGACAUAAUAAAAAUUACAGAAGCAGAAAUUACGGAGCAGGCUUACUUCAACAUUAUCAUGUCAUUUGGAACCUACAAAAUAAAAAAUUUCAGCCUCAAGAAUCAACCCCUAGACGUGAAGAACUGGAGCUGACUAUGAGAAAAGAAGAUAAUUAAAAAAAGUUAUUUGUAAAUCUUACUCCUCUUGAAACUUAUUAAAGGAAUCACUCAAGAAGUGAGUGACUAUCUACAGGUAAUGUGAGGGAGUGUAAGAUUACUACCCCUAAUACCCAGGGUUAAAAUUGGAUUGUGCCUUUACUUACAAACAACUCUGUGCAGGUACAAUAUGAGAAGUACCCACUAGAAACAAUCUCAUCUGCAAACCUGUGAACACCAUGUCGGGGGUGCAGCCAAGCAUCCUUUACAUAUUGGCUCUUGCUUUUUGUCUCUCUCCUGCAGAGACUGAAAAGAAUAAGAAGCAAGAAACAGACCCAAGGAGUCCAUUAUUCAGAACUCGCACUUCUCCAUCACAGCUGAAAUCCAGAAAAAGCUUCCUCCUUACAACAGCACUGAUUCCAACUUCACCAGAAGCCUGCCAAACUAAUCUGUGCAGAACAUAGUUCCUUGGAGCUUUAUAGACAGUAAAAGAGGACCUAUAGUCAGGCUACCAUUCCUAAUAGGGGACUCAACAGAUUGGGUACAGGGCCAACAUGUUGACUCUUUUGAAGAUAUCGGAUGUCAGUGGUGAUGAGCUUUAUGAAUGUUGGGUAAGACUGGUCUCUGAAUACUGUUGGUUUGCAGUAAUCCAAGUUAAACUUGUGACAUGGAAGAUCUGUUCACAGCAGAUGAUCAUGCUGUACUGGCUACUGAACAGUGGAAUCACAAAGUGGGACAUUCUCUCAAUCAUUAAUAUUAGCUUGUAGUCUUAGGAUUACAGUUUUAUUGUGUUUUUCUGGCCUUGAACAAAUAAAGAAACAAAUAAAAGCUUUUUGAAC
This is a long non-coding RNA of Schistocerca piceifrons (Central American locust), 3409 nucleotides long. RefSeq lists it as uncharacterized. NCBI's taxonomy places the organism in Eukaryota, Metazoa, Arthropoda, Insecta, Orthoptera, Acrididae. The record is from RefSeq and is a predicted model, not a curated record. The transcript has 3 exons.